RNAcentral lists this ribosomal RNA (443 nucleotides) under uncultured Bacteroidota bacterium. Its description in RNAcentral is "bacterial SSU rRNA". It matches the Rfam family "Bacterial small subunit ribosomal RNA", at positions 917 to 1359 of the family's 1533-position model. Lineage: Bacteria; Pseudomonadati; Bacteroidota. The record is from RNAcentral.
GGGCCCGCACAAGCGGAGGAACAUGUGGUUUAAUUCGAUGAUACGCGAGGAACCUUACCCGGGCUCGAACGGCUAUAGAAUACGGAUGAAAGUUCGUAGCCAGCAAUGGCUGUAGUCGAGGUGCUGCAUGGUUGUCGUCAGCUCGUGCCGUGAGGUCGUCGGCUCAAGUGCCAUAACGAGCGCAACCCUUACCGCCAGUUACCAUCAAGUAAAGUUGGGGACUCUGUCGGGACUGCCACCGUAAGGUGAGAGGAAGGUGGGGAUGACGUCAAAUCAGCACGGCCCUUACGUCCGGGGCGACACACGUGUUACAAUGGGUGGGACAAAGGGAAGCGAAGUAGCGAUACGGAGCGAAUCUUCAAACCCACUCCCAGUUCGGAUCGAAGUCUGCAACUCGACUUCGUGAAGCUGGAUUCGCUAGUAAUCGCGCAUCAGCCAUGGCG